CCUACGGGAGGCAGCAGUGAGGAAUAUUGGUCAAUGGACGAGAGUCUGAACCAGCCAAGUAGCGUGAAGGAUGACUGCCCUAUGGGUUGUAAACUUCUUUUAUAAAGGAAUAAAACGAGGCACGUGUGCCUUUUUGCAUGUACUUUAUGAAUAAGGAUCGGCUAACUCCGUGCCAGCAGCCGCGGUAAUACGGAGGAUCCGAGCGUUAUCCGGAUUUAUUGGGUUUAAAGGGAGCGUAGAUGGGUUGUUAAGUCAGUUGUGAAAGUUUGCGGCUCAACCGUAAAAUUGCAGUUGAUACUGGCAGUCUUGAGUACAGUUGAGGUAGGCGGAAUUCGUGGUGUAGCGGUGAAAUGCUUAGAUAUCACGAAGAACCCCGAUUGCGAAGGCAGCUUACCAAACUGUGACUGACAUUGAUGCUCGAAAGUGUGGGUAUCAAACAGGAUUAGAUACCCGUGUAGUC
RNAcentral lists this ribosomal RNA (460 nucleotides) under uncultured bacterium. RNAcentral describes it as "partial 16S ribosomal RNA". It matches the Rfam family "Bacterial small subunit ribosomal RNA", at positions 338 to 795 of the family's 1533-position model. The record is from RNAcentral.